RNAcentral lists this long non-coding RNA (426 nucleotides) under Mytilus galloprovincialis (Mediterranean mussel). Lineage: Eukaryota; Metazoa; Mollusca; Bivalvia; Mytilida; Mytilidae. The record is from RNAcentral.
GAGAGAUAUAACUGGGAACUUUAUCAAUGGAAAUUUAAAACUGAAUAGAUUUUUCAGUCCUAACUUUCUUAAGAAAAAAAUUAAAAAUUUUAAGAGUACUGUAACAAAAAAAUGGAAAAUGGCCCUAGCCUACAGUUCAGUCGUACACUAUUAAGAUUUCAAAAAUAAUUGUAGUUGUUGUUAAAUGACAGAAUUCAACUAGUUGAAUUUUAGAUAAUUAACUAUCAACUUUAAUUGAAUGUUUAGAUUUAGAAGAUGCAGAUCUCUUCCAUUGGUCUAAAUUGAAUCCUAAACUAAAGAAACGAAAUUACAUUAAACAACAAUUGAUUCCAAUAGUGUCAACCUUCCACAUGUUCUAGCUGUUCUUUUUUCCAUUCUUUAUAUGAAGACUAUCAAAAGAUACCCCCCCCCCCCCAAACCCCCACC